RNAcentral lists this transfer RNA (61 nucleotides) under Dipylidium caninum. RNAcentral's name for it is "tRNA-Trp". Lineage: Eukaryota; Metazoa; Platyhelminthes; Cestoda; Cyclophyllidea; Dipylidiidae. The record is from RNAcentral.
AUAGGAUUAAGUUAGUUAGACUGUGCGUUUUCAAAACGUUUAGCGGUUUUUCCAUUCUAUG